CAGUCGCCGCGGUAAUACGAAGGGGGCUAGCGUUGCUCGGAAUUACUGGGCGUAAAGGGCGCGUAGGCGGACAGUUCAGUCGGGGGUGAAAGCCCGGAGCUCAACCUCGGAAUUGCCUUCGAUACUGGCUGUCUUGAGUAUGAGAGAGGUGUGUGGAACUCCGAGUGUAGAGGUGAAAUUCGUAGAUAUUCGGAAGAACACCAGUGGCGAAGGCGACACACUGGCUCAUUACUGACGCUGAGGCGCGAAAGCGUGGGGAGCGAACAGGAUUAGAUACCCGUGUAGUCCCUGUCUCUUAUAC
Molecule: ribosomal RNA, 301 nt
Filed under: uncultured bacterium
Lineage: Bacteria
Description: partial 16S ribosomal RNA
Rfam family: Bacterial small subunit ribosomal RNA
Source: RNAcentral